This 267-nucleotide ribosomal RNA is filed under the name uncultured bacterium. Its description in RNAcentral is "partial 16S ribosomal RNA". It matches the Rfam family "Bacterial small subunit ribosomal RNA", at positions 1223 to 1500 of the family's 1533-position model. The record is from RNAcentral.
UGCUACAAUGGCCGGUACAGAGAGAAGCAAGCCUGUGAAGGGGAGCGAAACUCAAAAACCGGUCCCAGUUCGGAUUGUAGGCUGCAACUCGCCUACAUGAAGUCGGAGUUGCUAGUAAUCGCGGAUCAGAAUGCCGCGGUGAAUGCGUUCCCGGGUCUUGUACACACCGCCCGUCACACCAUGGAAGUUGGGGGCGCCCGAAGUUGGUCGAGGAAUAGAUUACCUAAGGCGAAACCAAUGACUGGGGUGAAGUCGUAACAAGGUACC